Molecule: transfer RNA, 84 nt
Filed under: Cyanoptyche gloeocystis
Lineage: Eukaryota; Glaucocystophyceae
Description: tRNA-Ser
Rfam family: tRNA
About the family: Transfer RNA (tRNA) molecules are approximately 80 nucleotides in length. Their secondary structure includes four short double-helical elements and three loops (D, anti-codon, and T loops).
Source: RNAcentral
GGAGAGAUGGCUGAGCGGUUAAAAGCAUUGGUUUGCUAAACCAAAGUAUAUACAUACACGUGGGUUCAAACCCCACUCUCUCCU